RNAcentral lists this ribosomal RNA (488 nucleotides) under uncultured bacterium. Its description in RNAcentral is "bacterial SSU rRNA". It matches the Rfam family "Bacterial small subunit ribosomal RNA", at positions 396 to 884 of the family's 1533-position model. The record is from RNAcentral.
GUAGCGUGAAGGAUGACUGCCCUAUGGGUUGUAAACUUCUUUUAUAAAGGAAUAAAGUCGGGUAUGCAUACCCGUUUGCAUGUACUUUAUGAAUAAGGAUCGGCUAACUCCGUGCCAGCAGCCGCGGUAAUACGGAGGAUCCGAGCGUUAUCCGGAUUUAUUGGGUUUAAAGGGAGCGUAGAUGGAUGUUUAAGUCAGUUGUGAAAGUUUGCGGCUCAACCGUAAAAUUGCAGUUGAUACUGGAUGUCUUGAGUGCAGUUGAGGCAGGCGGAAUUCGUGGUGUAGCGGUGAAAUGCUUAGAUAUCACGAAGAACUCCGAUUGCGAAGGCAGCCUGCUAAGCUGCAACUGACAUUGAGGCUCGAAAGUGUGGGUAUCAAACAGGAUUAGAUACCCUGGUAGUCCACACGGUAAACGAUGAAUACUCGCUGUUUGCGAUAUACGGCAAGCGGCCAAGCGAAAGCGUUAAGUAUUCCACCUGGGGAGUACG